Molecule: transfer RNA, 72 nt
Filed under: Camelus bactrianus (Bactrian camel)
Lineage: Eukaryota; Metazoa; Chordata; Mammalia; Artiodactyla; Camelidae
Also listed under: 1 other name
Rfam family: tRNA
About the family: Transfer RNA (tRNA) molecules are approximately 80 nucleotides in length. Their secondary structure includes four short double-helical elements and three loops (D, anti-codon, and T loops).
Source: Rfam by way of RNAcentral
GAGAGUAUAGCUCAGUGGUACAGUGCAUGCUUAGCAUGCACGAGGUCCUGGGUUCAAUCCUCAGUACCACCA